AUUCAGGCUGGCCUUGAACUCACUAUGUAGUCGAGGCUGGCCUUGAACUCAUGAUCCUCCUGGCUCAGCCUCCUAACUGCUGGGAUUACAGGCGUGUGCCACCACACUUGACCUUGUUCUAUAUUCUUGCCAACAUCUGUCAGUCCUGUUAAUAUUAACUUUUCUGGUGAACAUAUAGAGAGGCUUGCUGUGGUUUCAAUUUUCAUUCUCCUGAUGGCUUCCAGUGUUACAUACCUUUUCACAUAGAUAUAGUAUAUGUGUCUAUAUGUGCAUAUGUAUGUGUAUACACAUGCACAUGUUGGUAUACGUAUGAAUAUAUUUGCUAUUCAGUUACGCUUCUUCUGCAGUACCUGUGCUUCGGUGCGUCAUGCCUUCUUCAUUGCCGUUUGUUUCGUUGCCUUUUGAUGUUAACGCUCAUUGAUCUGUGUAUAAGCUGUGAUGUACAGAUGAGUUUAAGGAAGGACAGCUACUGAAAAGCCAGGUAAUACUGAGAACCCUGAAUUGAGUGCCCUUUUUUCUUUUGGUGGCACUGGGCCCACUUGGGUUGAACCCAGGCCCUUCACACUGAGCUACAUACCAGUCUCAAUCUUUUGAUUUUGCAUUUUUGGGACAGGGUCUCACUAAGUUGCUAAAUGGCCCAGUAUGGGCUCAAACUUGUGAUUCUCCAGCCUCAGCCUCUCAGAGUGGUCGGAGUACAGAUGUGCCCCACCACAUCGACCUGGAUCUGUGCUUCUUGCAAAAUAUCAGCUGAAAGAUGGAAUUUCUUUAUGAAACAUUAUAAGUUAAUUCUUCAAUGAAUUCAGGUUAUUUUCUAGUAUGUGAAGUCAUUUGUUCAUCCAUUCAGGUUGUGUUACAGCAAAAAGUAGGGUGUAUUUGUGCGUAUAUUGUCAGUUGCCUCACAGGUUUGAUGCUUUCAUGGGUGGUUUGUCAAGUUUCUUUGGAAAAUGGUGGUCUUUCAAUUUUUGACCUUACUGUUUUGCUCAAUCAAUAUUUCUUCACAAUGUUUGAAGUAUAUUCUUUGUUUCACAAAUUGCACCAUUUAUAUUGGUGCAAAUAACCAGUGCAAAGUAGACUUACUCAUUUUGACGAUUAUGAAUUGCCAACGAAUAGCAUUUGGUUUAGUUAUUGCUUUAGCAGCUAGUGUUGUAGUCCGUGCUCUUGUCUUGAAGGCAGCGGGUCAUACUCAGUUGUAAACAUUGUUUUGUCUAAUGUCUCUGGUGGUCAUGUUUGAUAACCUGAUAACUGCCACCCCUCCAAACCCACAAACUUAUUUCUUAAAGGGAAUCUCUGCUGUUGAGUCAGGAGCAUGCUAAUGAAAACUGCCAUUCUUUGUAGCUGGAAACCACAGGCAUCUGCUUGAGAGUAAAUCACUGCCUUUUGGUUGAGUCAUAGCAGGGUGUUUUUCAACAUGUGCCAUUAUUAAAAUCCUUUUUUUUUUUUUUUUGGUACCAGGGAUUGAACUCAGGUCCUUGCGCUUGCGCAGCAGGCGGCAAAACCACUGAGCUAAAUCCCUGGCCCCAAAAUCCUAUUUCUUGUAUUUUAAAAAUUCAUGUGUUUUAAUUUGAACAGCUGAGGCUCCAUGCUAUUGGAUUAUGUUAUCUACAUUUAUACCUGCCUUCCUUAGAAUUUAUUCCUAUUAUUUAUAGAUAAGUUAUAUAUAACAUAUAAUAUAUAAUACAUGAAUGGUAGCAGAUUUAUGUACUCAGUGGUAAAGGGUAUCUACUUUUCACUCAAAGGCUGGGAGAAUAAUAGGUGUAUUGUUUACAUAGGUAGCUGUUCUCUUAAGAAGUGGGCUUCUUUAAUGUUUUAUUUGUAGGUUAUCAUUUACAUUUCUGACUUAUGAAAAAUGUUUCUACUUAUGCAGUUUGGUUAGAGGACCCUCUCACUUUUAGCCAUUUAUAUGCUUUGGAAUGAUAAAGUGAAACAUUAAUAAAAGAAAAAAAUAAAAUGAAACAUUAACAUGUACAGUUUUUACAUGACCCUUUUAAAAUUUUAUUUUUGUGUUGUGUGUGUGUUACUAGGGAUUAAACUGGAUCCUCGCACUGAGCUGCAUCCCCAGUCCUUUUGUAUUUUGAGACAGAGCUUUGUUAAGUUGCUCGUGCUAGGCUUGAACUUGUGAUCCUUCUGCUUGGCCUUCCUUGUGCUGGGAUUAUAGCCUUGCACCAUUGUGCUGCAUCCAGUUUUUGAUUCUGAAAUUAGACAGACCAGUUUUGGCCAAAAUGCAGUCACAUAGUCUUGUUACAGUGAGGCUUGGGAGGAUGGUGGUGGAGGAUAGUGAAUUUGAGGCCAGUCUGGGCUACAUAGGGAGUUUGCGGCCAAACUCUACCACGUAGCGAGACCAUCUCAAUAUAAACCACAACAAAUGAUGACGAUGGUUUCAGGAACAACUAUUCUUUUAAUACAAUUAUUGGUUCUUUUUCGUAUUUGGCAGGGUCACUUUGUAGAGCUGUUCUUCAGGAACAGAUAAUAUUAAGCCUGUCUGACUUUGUGUAUGAAUUUUCCAGGACAUCACAGAUUUUAAAAUCAAAAUUGUAAGCUGAGUACACUGGUGCAGAACUGGGAAGGCUGAGGCAGGAGGAUUUACUUGAGCUCCAAAGUUUGGAGCCAGCCUGGACAAUGCAGCAAGACCCUAGUCCUAAAAUUAAAAAAUUAAAAUCAAACCAUGGGGCCGGGAGUAUGUAGCUCUGCAUCGCAGCAUCUGCCUGGCAGACACAAGUCCCUCAGUUCAACUCCUGGUAGCCAAAAAAAAAAUCAUUAUCAUGAGCAUCACUGAAUUCACUCCCUGUGAUUGCUUUGUUAGGGUUUAUUGCAAUGAGUAUACAGUAAAACUCACUGCUUUUCUUUAAGACUCUUUAAAACAGAAAACUCUUAAUACUUUUUUUAAAAUAUUGAAUACAAUAAUUAAGCUACACGUUGACGAGCAGAAUUUAGGUAACUUCUUCUAAGAUUAACUUUCUGGGUUUCAGUAUAAACUCUCUCAGGGUACAGGUUCACAUGUCUGAAAAGUUGAGAUGCCCUAAAAAGUUUUUAGUAGGGUAUCAUUGUGUCCUUAGGAAAAUUAAUCCUGGGCCAUGGAUUUAGCUCAGUGGUUGUGGCACCUGCCUCGAAAGCGCAAGGUCCCAAGUUCGAUCCCCGGUACCAAAAGAAAAGAAAAUUAAUCCUGUUCAGUUUGGUUUAGGAUUCCAUUUAUUUUUAUCAUCAGCCUUAACUUUACCAUAGGAACAUUAUGUGGAAGUAUUAAAUUUAUAAAACCAGCUUAAGAAUGAAGAUGAGGGCCGGGGAUUUAGCUCAGUGGUUUCUCUGCCUGCCUCGCAAGUGCAAGGACCUGAGUUUGAUCCCCGGUACCAAAAAAAAAAAAAAGAAUGAAGAUGAAGUUAGGAGCAGAUUCUCAAAAAACAGCUUAUGCAGUAGAAUGUCACUUGCUGGUAGGAAUAUAUACAAGUUAAUUUUUAAUUGAUUUAUAGCAUGCUUUAAGAAGUUUUUUUUUUUUUUUGGUACCAGGGAUCAAACUCGGGUCCUUGCAAUUGCGCAGCAGGUGGCGAAACCACUGAGCUAAAUCCCCGGGCUUUAAGAAGUAUUUUAAAAAGUUGUAUACCAGAUCUAUAGAUCUUCAUAAAGUACACGCAAAAUUGUGCAUACCUAUGUUUUACAUGCAUAUUUUACACAAAUUUUGCGGCUGUAGGGGGAGUAUUUAAUUAGUAAAAGUGAAUUUGAGAUCUAAAUAGGUUUUGGAUACAAUACUGGUCUUAGGUAGUGAUUCCAGUAUUUUGUGUUCAUGUACCUCUCACAUUCAGAAAAAUUUUAACACAAAUCUGUAUAUUUGUGUUUAACCCUACAUUGUGGUUGUGAACUACUGUAUUAAUAUUUCAGGUAUGUUAUAAAAGCAAAAUUUUAUAAGGAUAACAUAAUAAACAUAAGCCUGCCCCCCAGUGAAAAAUCUUGGGUGUGUGCUCUUUGGAGAACUUUGGUCCAUGGUAUACUAAGGUAGGAGAGCCUUUUUCUGAUCAAAUACAAUAGAAAUAUGUGUAUGUCCUGCAUUGGUACAAGUAGAAUAAGAUUUUGUAGAUACAGUAGGAAUUGAGAUCUUUUCUAUGGUUUUCUAGGGUGAGCUUUUAAACUAUGUUGUGUUAAGAGACCAUUUCUCUUACAAGAGGGUAUAUGGGAAUAAAUAAGGACAGAUUUAGCAAAAAAGACAAAUAUUUUUAAAUUAGCAGAUUUGAAAAUUAUUUUGUAUUUAGUACUUAAUAGUGUUUAAUACCAAAAUAUAAAAUUAACCUAAAUUUAAAUUUGUCAGUGUUCUUUGAGGAAAUGGGGGAUAUAUUUUGAAUUGCAGGGAAAUCCUUAUUGAAUAAAAAUCCUUUCACAAUGGAAAUAAUUAAACCAUACAGCACAAUAUGUUAUUUUACCAGAACUUUGGUUACUGUUAAGAACUUUUAAGAGAUCAACUAAACCUUCCAGAAUCAUCCUUUAGAAGACUAAAUCUGAUUUUGUUGUAUUCCUAGGGUGAUAAAAGAAAACAUGGGUAAGGCUGCUGAAAGUUCAGCUUCUAGUAGAAUUCUGAAGACCUCACAGACCAGGAAUGCUGCAGACAUGCUCCCUUUCAGGUUAAAUGGCUGUGUGGAAAAUGUUCUCAGUAACCCAGGACAAACAAGCCAGUAAACAAAUAGGAGUUAGUCCAUGUGGCUAAGCACCAGCAUUAGCCAAGACGAUUAUUGCCUAAUUGGAACCAGCUCCUCACCAUGAAACAGCUGUUGGGGGGUAGUCUGGUUGAUUCAAGUCUUCUACAUCCGUAAACCACUACUUUUAGUGUUUACUUAUUUCCGCACAAACACAAGUGGCUGUCAAAGAGGGGAGUAUGGAGAUUUCUAACAAAAUGGCUAGAGCCCAGCUUCUACUUGAGGAAGAAAUGGCACUGCACACUGCAUCUGGAGCCUCUAACGGGAGCUGUUCAGCAGAGGUCAGGACCAAGGAGGGGAGUUUUUCAUGUCUUUACUAUAAACUAUUAUGGGCAUAUUUUUUGUUUCUUUUUCAGCUAAAAGGGAAAAGACUAUUAGUAAUAGGCAGUGGCUUUGGAAUACUCAAUAACAAACUAGGAAGACCCAGCUCCAUAUAUUUUAAAUAGGACUCUGCAGACCCCUCAGUGUGGCUUAGGGUGGUAGGUAUUGGUAAGGGUUCUCUUCUGCCACAGCAGCUCUGUUUUUAACUAUUUCACAUAAUUAUUACACACAGUAUAAGGUUUCAUUUAAGUAAAGGGUUCUACCCUAAGAAUCAGUUAAUAUUUACAGUGUAUCCUUCAAACUGAGCAGCUUCAGGGUAAAAACAGGCUUACCUUCUGGCAUGUUCUGUGGAAGUUUGUAACUGAAAUCUGUUGAGAAAUCUGGCCCCUCACAGAGUCGAUGACAUGCUAUUGGGAAAACAGGUUCCAGCAGAACAAGGCGAGCUUCAAAGUAAUCUCGGAUUGUCUCUUCAGCCACUCUCGAAAGCCUGGUAAGAAAUGACAGGAAGUUGUUAAUGCACUGACAUAUCACACUGUACCACAUACAUAAUUAUGCUCACCAGGUAUGAACAGCACCUCUGCCCUCAGCCCACCUCCCUGCUCAUUCCCUUGUGCACCCGGCACCUGAUGUACUGCACCAGUCUGCCUCAUGCCCAUCUUCUCUCACUGUAAACUCAAACUGCAAAGGACAAGCUUUUCCCUGCUGCUGUCUCCGUCCUCCCGGCCAUUAACAUAGUGUCUGCUUGCUCAGACUUGCCUAAUGAAUGAAUAAAAGCAUGAGAGCCUCUCAGGUGGGGGCAAACAGGAAGGCUCCCUUCAGCUAAUCCAUGAGGAGAGAAGAUCUGAUGCCUCCUGUGAUUCCUCACAGCCUGGCCUCAGAAAGGAUCAAAGCACAGGCUAUCCAGAGGGCAGACUGGGCACAGGCCUUUUGUGGCCUUUUGUCUCUUGUCUAAAAUACACCUUACAUUCUGCUUAGAUUAUAGAUCCUCUGUCUGGAAUUGGAGUAACCAUUUUGUAGGCAGGAAGAGCCAGUGAGGAUUAAGAGGCAAGAAGAAUAGCUUAGCCUCCUGAGACUGCCAAAAAAGUGCCUGCUUGUCUGGAAAAAAAGCACCUUCAUCAGCUGCCUAACGGCUUGGAGCAUUUCUGGCAAGUGUUGCCCAAAUAAUUCUUAAGUGAUAAAAAGAUCCUUGUACUAUGAAGUAUAAACUUGUAAUAAAAUAAAACUUAGAAUUCACAUAAAAAAAUAAGCUGGUACAGACAGAAUGUUAGUGCUAUAAAGGAAUGAGCCAUCCAGACAGGGACGGAACCAACUACAUGGCUGUAGUUAAAUGAAAAUCAAUCUGAAAAGGCCAGAUAAUGUAUGAUCCUAAAUACUGUAGAAAGGGCAAAUUAGCCACCAAAAGACAAGUGCUCACCAGGGCACAGGGGAGACAAGAACAAAGAUCUGGAAAAUUAAAUAGGUCUUUCAUUUUUCGGUACCGGGGAUCAAACUCGGGUCCUUGUGCUUGCGAGGCAGGCAGUGGAACCACUGAGCUAAAGCCUCGGCUGCUGGAAAACAAUUUUUAAAGCAGUGAAAAAUACUGUAAGAUACAAUGGUGAACACCUACCGUUACACCCUGGUCCAACCACAUGGAAUGUAUACCAUAAGGCUGAACCCUAUGUGAACUGAGGACUCUGUCUGCAGAGUCAUUGAUACAGAUACAUCGAUUUUAACAAAUGUGCCACUCUGGUGAGAAGGGUGACAGCAAACAAGAUGGAUGAGGGGGCAGAGUAUGUGUUUAAAAAAAAAAAAAAAUUAGAAUAGUUUAAAAGGUUUUAAGGAAAUGUCAGACAAAUUAACAGCAUACAUAAUUUGGAGAAUUUAAGGAGAUACCCAGAUCUAAGAGUUAUGUGUGAUGUUUUCUAAGGCUUCAAUAACAUGCACAAAAAUAAAACAUGCCCUUUGCUAACUUCAUGAUCUACAAGAACAGAAACCUGUUAGGAAACAUACUAAAUCUUUUUCUGAGCAGUUAUUUAGAGGCCAUUCCAGUGACAAUGUGUCCAAAUAAACAGGUUUUGUUAGUUAACCAUGGUACAUUCACUUUGUACUUACGUCUCCAAGUGGCUCUUCAGCAAGUCAUAUACUAGCACAUUGUUACACUGCUUUGCAAAAUGCAGUGCGCUAUUCUGGUGCUUUGACAAAAUGUUACAAUCAGCUCCAUAUUCGAUUACAAGCCGAACAAUGUCCGAAUUUCCUCUUUUACAGGCCUAAGUCAGAGAAAGGCGUGACAAUUACUUAACUGUAAAUGAUAGUAACUACCAGUUGGCAUUGGUCCCUCUCUCCAUACAAACCUGGGAGUUCUUUGUAAAGAGUGCAAACUGCAAUGGAGAAAGGGUGAGAAAACCCACAGCAGCAAUCACUGCUGUGACUGCAACAUCACAGAGGACUCACUACCUAGGGCACUUCCUGCUGCUCUCCUUCCACCUUUCUCCCCAGGUCCUCAACUCCUUUCCUUCUCCCCUGUUCUUUCCCAUGCUUUAGCCUUCUCCACCUCUCAAAAGCUGACCCCAUUCCCAACCUGUGGCUACAGUGCAGUCACUCAGACUGAUGGCUCUCUGGUCUGAAUCUCCAGCCCAUACCACUGUCCAGCACCUGCUUGUCGCUGAUGCCCAUCCUCCCUACUCAAGAAGGGCACCACUUCCUGUUGAACCACCUUCUGGGAAUUCUACCUGCUAAAAGGUGGGUAAAUUACCCACUUUUCUCUAUCACUGGUUAUGUACAGACUACUAAUUAUCUAUUUACUUAACAAAUCUUUUCCCCAGUCCAUUCUGCCUUCUGCUCUAAAGCAUGUUAAAUGAACUAACCCUUGAAUCGACCUAUAUCUUUCUCCAGCUUUAACCUGCCCAUAGCUCUCAAAUGUCCUCAAAGUACAUUGCUAGCCUGUGCCAUCCCUGUGCCAUCCCUGUGCCAAGUGCUGGUGCCUCCCUCACUGGCCCAUUCUGCCUAAGCUCCGCUGUUCAGAUGUACCCUGGGCUUUCCGCUGAGACGAUGCUGAGGCACUAGCUCUGCUCUGCACAGACGGCAAUAACACACAUAAAAUCAGACUACAGACUCAAACUUAAGGACUUAAACAAAAAUGUACAUUUCCAUCAACUAAAAAUUUUUAAAAAGCAGUGGGUAAGGCCUAGCCUGAUUAUGGCUGGGGCCUGAGAAGGGGUAUGGCGUCCAGGCCCUAAAACCGCAGUAUUCAAGGCUAGACUCAGCAUGUGGCACAUUACAGAGCUGCUAACAGAGGUCAGAACAGCAGGGGUUGCAGGCAAAUCCCUGCCUGCUUGCUUCAUAGUUUACAUAAAGCUGCAUACCAGGGAGAGGCAAGAAAGAUAAGUCACCUUUGGCUCAGUGUCUGGACCUGCUAUGUCCUAGCAGCUUAAUGGGCCAGGAACCCAGAACAGCUGCAGAGGGAAAGUAGCGCUGGGCUGGGUCCCAUGAGGCAAAUAUAAACCUGUGAGGCAGGGAGGCAACCAACAGUACUUGGGGCACUAGGAGGCUCCGACCACCUUCCACUGGGAAUGUGUCUGCCAGCCAAGUUUGGUGACAUAUGCCUAACAGUCCCAGCUACUUGGGAGGCUAAGGCAGUACUAAAGUCUGAGCCUGGGCAGCUCUGACUUGGCAAGACCCUGUCUCAAAAUUUUUUUAAAAAGUUUAGCUCAAUGAUGGAGCACAAGCUGGAGAUCCUCCUGGUCCCCAGCCCCUCCCCAAAAGCCCCAAAAUGAAGUCUAGCGAAGGAAACCUGUGAGAGAACUGGAUGUUCAGAGUGCCCAAGUAUCUACAUAGACAGGGGAAACAAAUUCUUGCCUUGGGGUGUGGUAAUCUACCGGUCUUGCCGUUGCAUAAGUCCUCAAUAAAUUAACUCGGUGUAAUCCUGAA
This is a non-coding RNA of Heterocephalus glaber (naked mole-rat), 8903 nucleotides long. The record is from RefSeq and is a predicted model, not a curated record. Lineage: Eukaryota; Metazoa; Chordata; Mammalia; Rodentia; Bathyergidae.